AUUGAACGCUGGCGGCAUGCCUUACACAUGCAAGUCGAACGGCAGCACGGGAGCAAUCCUGGUGGCGAGUGGCGAACGGGUGAGUAAUAUAUCGGGACGUGCCCAGUCGUGGGGAUAACGUAGCGAAAGCUACGCUAAUACCGCAUACGAUCUAUGGAUGAAAGCGGGGGAUCGCAAGACCUCGCGCGAUUGGAGCGGCCGAUAUCAGAUUAGGUAGUUGGUGAGGUAAAGGCUCACCAAGCCGACGAUCUGUAGCUGGUCUGAGAGGACGACCAGCCACACUGGGACUGAGACACGGCCCAGACUCCUACGGGAGGCAGCAGUGGGGAAUAUUGGACAAUGGGCGAAGCCUGAUCCAGCAAUGCCGCGUGAGUGAUGAAGGCCUUAGGGUUGUUAAAGGCUCUUUUUACCAGGGAUGAUAAUGACAGUACCU
This 433-nucleotide ribosomal RNA is filed under the name uncultured bacterium. RNAcentral describes it as "bacterial SSU rRNA". It matches the Rfam family "Bacterial small subunit ribosomal RNA", at positions 30 to 480 of the family's 1533-position model. The record is from RNAcentral.